This 512-nucleotide non-coding RNA is filed under the name Cucumis melo (muskmelon). RNAcentral describes it as "Bacterial large subunit ribosomal RNA". It matches the Rfam family "Bacterial large subunit ribosomal RNA", at positions 18 to 562 of the family's 2925-position model. RNAcentral also lists the same sequence under 1 other name. Lineage: Eukaryota; Viridiplantae; Streptophyta; Magnoliopsida; Cucurbitales; Cucurbitaceae. The record is from Rfam by way of RNAcentral.
CUUAGGAUGGCAUAGCCUUAAAGUUAAGGGAAGGUUCAAACAAAGAAAUAUGCUUUGGGGAGUUACAAAUAAGCAUAGAUCCGGAGAUUCCCGAAUAGGCCAACCUUUCAAACUGCUGCAGAAUCCAUGGGCAGGCAAGAGACAACUUGGCAAACUAAAACAUCUUAGUAGCCAGAAGAUAAGAAAGCAAAAGCGAUUGUCGUAGUAGCGACGAGCGAAACGGGAGCAGCAUAAACCAUAAAAACGAGGUUAUGGGAGAGUAAUACAAGCGUCAUGCUGCUAGGCGAAGUGGUCGAGUGCUACAACCUAGAUGGUGAGAAUCCAGUAGCCGAAAGCAUCACUAGCUUACGCUCUGACUCGAGUAGCAUGGGGCACGUGGAAUCCCGUUGUGAAUUGACAAGGACCACCUUGCAAGGCUAAAUAUUCCUGGGUGAUCGAUAGUGAAGUAGUACCGUGAGAGAAGGGUGAAAAGAACCUCCAUCGGGGAGUGAAAUAGAACAUGAAACCCUAAG